CUACUUCCGUCUCUCCCAAACCUCAACUGAUCCGCCAGUCCGAUCGAAACCUCAUUAGAUUCACACAAUCCGACAUGGAAAGGGAUGCGAUUCAGAUCGGUGCAAACACUACUAAGCCUGUUACAAGGUCUCGCUGGAAGAGGGAACUCAUUCAACUGAACGGAAAACCUGAUCGGAAUUACAUCCACCAGGCCUCUCAGCUGCUAAUGCAGUCGUAUGCCCAGGUCGGGUCAUUUCGCCACAGAUAUCACAUCUCGGAAUCACCUUGUGUUACAUAUGUCUUAUCCCG
This is a long non-coding RNA of Helianthus annuus (common sunflower), 289 nucleotides long. RefSeq lists it as uncharacterized. The record is from RefSeq and is a predicted model, not a curated record. The transcript is spliced from 3 exons. NCBI's taxonomy places the organism in Eukaryota, Viridiplantae, Streptophyta, Magnoliopsida, Asterales, Asteraceae.